This 155-nucleotide ribosomal RNA is filed under the name uncultured bacterium. Its description in RNAcentral is "partial 16S ribosomal RNA". It matches the Rfam family "Bacterial small subunit ribosomal RNA", at positions 355 to 507 of the family's 1533-position model. The record is from RNAcentral.
UGAGGAAUAUUGGACAAUGGGCGCAAGCCUGAUCCAGCCAUGCCGCGUGCAGGAUGACGGUCCUAUGGAUUGUAAACUGCUUUUGCACAGGAAGAAACAACGCUACGUGUAGCGUCUUGACGGUACUGUGAGAAUAAGGAUCGGCUAACUCCGUG